CCCUACGGGACGCAGCAGUGAGGAAUAUUGGUCAAUGGGCGGGAGCCUGAACCAGCCAAGUCGCGUGAAGGAAGAAGGUACUUAGUAUUGUAAACUUCUUUUGUCGGGGAACAAAGGCGGAGACGCGUCUCCGGAUGAGUGUACCCGCAGAAAAAGCAUCGGCUAACUCCGUGCCAGCAGCCGCGGUAAUACGGAGGAUGCGAGCGUUAUCCGGAUUUAUUGGGUUUAAAGGGCGCGCAGGCGGGAGAUCAAGUCAGCAGUAAAAUUACGGCGC
RNAcentral lists this ribosomal RNA (274 nucleotides) under uncultured bacterium. Its description in RNAcentral is "partial 16S ribosomal RNA". It matches the Rfam family "Bacterial small subunit ribosomal RNA", at positions 337 to 608 of the family's 1533-position model. The record is from RNAcentral.